Paramisgurnus dabryanus is the source of this 470-nucleotide non-coding RNA. The record is from RefSeq and is a predicted model, not a curated record. Lineage: Eukaryota; Metazoa; Chordata; Actinopteri; Cypriniformes; Cobitidae.
UGCGGCUGAAUCUUGUUCACUGGAUUGUAAGGAGGCCGAGAUCAGCAGACCUCAGGUGUUUGUUUGGCUGAUGAGCACUGAUUAGUUCAGAAAGAAGCCAGUAUGCUAGCUGAGGCCAUUCACUUCCAGUCUUUGUGCUAAGCUAAGCUAGCGGGGGCUGCGUCAGACAGAGUUACAGCACGCAUGGAGAUGAGAAAGGCAUCUUCUUCUUUCCCGCGUGGUCACGUGGAAAAGUGACGUCAAUGCAUUCCCUCUAUAGAGGUUGCGGGGAGACCACAGCCACAUCCGAGGAGUUCUCAUUAUGAUCCGCUUUAGAUCAGCUUUUUGAACAUUAAUCUUCUGUUGGUUUUAUUGACUUGAAUUGCUUACACUUGUAUCACGUACACGCACAUGCUGACAAGCUGACUAUUCUGACUACUUUACAUUUCAUGUUUAUGCUCUUUAGUUUAAUAAAUUGUCUUGCAAAUUUA